RNAcentral lists this non-coding RNA (253 nucleotides) under uncultured bacterium. RNAcentral's name for it is "partial 16S ribosomal RNA". It matches the Rfam family "Bacterial small subunit ribosomal RNA", at positions 524 to 776 of the family's 1533-position model. RNAcentral also lists the same sequence under 1 other name. The record is from RNAcentral.
UACGUAGGCAGCAAGCGUUGUUCGGAAUUACUGGGCGUAAAGAGUGUGUAGGUGGUGUCGUAAGUUUGGUGUGAAAUCUCCCGGCUUAACUGGGAGGGUGCGCCGAAGACUGCGAUGCUUGAGUAUGGGAGAGGAAAGCGGAAUUCCUGGUGUAGCGGUGAAAUGCGUAGAUAUCAGGAGGAACACCUGCGGUGUAGACGGCUUUCUGGACCAUUACUGACACUGAGACACGAAAGCGUGGGUAGCAAACAGG